UUUCGAAUCUCCGCUUCAUGUCUCAUAUCAACCGAUCAACUUGAGUCUCAUAUUCUCAUUUUCUUCUGUCUCUUCUUCUUCCUUAUGAAAUAAAAAAUUAGAUGUCAAAUUAACCGAACCCCUCUAGGGAUAACUUCCGCUCAGGCUUGAUGGUUGAAUAUCUGCAACCAGGGCUUUCAAUUCUAUAUUAGUUGUGAUCUUUUAUAGGGUUUUAAUUGUAUGAAUAAAAAAAAAGGUAAAAUUUAUUGGUUUAUGGAUGCUGUUGAUCUAUUUAGCUUAAUUGGUUUUCUGUAGUUUUUGAUUCAUUGGGGGUAUUAGGUUUCGUAAUUGUAAAUUGAAAGCUAAUUCCAGUGACACUAACUGAAAAACACUUUUGGAUUACUUUGUGUGAAUGUGGGUUGCUUAUUUCAUCAGAAAAAAUGCAUCUUGGAGGGUGAAAAGGAUAAAAAAAUGUUUGUCUCGAUCCUAUGGUAGCUUAGUUGAAGUUUUUGUAUUCCUUUCUGUACAAUACUUUUGUUUUUGUUUAUCUCCUCUUUGAAGAAAAAAAGGUUCAUGUUGUUGCAGUAUAAAUUGCCUGCUUAAAGCAGAGAAUGAAAAAGAGAAAAGAGCAAGUGAAAUAAAUGGGUCAGAAAUAGGAGUAAAACAAGGGCUAAAAGGACCUGGGAGAGCUGAUGACAAAAGAGACGCAUAUUUCCAAUGUCUGGAUUUUCGCAGAUCCUUAAUAAUGUUGUGGAUUUCCUAAUUACUCUCAAGUCAUUCAACAUGAAGCAGAAAGUAGCUACCAGCUACUCCUCUAGAACAUACAUCUUACAGAUGUAGUAGGCUUCUUAAAAACCAUAACCAACAUCCAGCUGCUUCAGAGAGCCUGCGGACAAUCCAGCUAAACGCGCGAGAUUACAAUCUAAGGUGGAUGAAACUAAAGAGAAUGGAGCAGGAUUCAUUGGAUGUCCAUGUGAAUUGCUGAAUUGGUUGAAUCUAUCGUGCCUACCCAUUAUUAAGUUGGACCUCAAUUAGGAUUCUGAGAGGGCAUUUACAAUGCAACAAAACUGAGUGGUUAUUAUGUCUACCACAUGCAAUAAGAGCCACAGUACGAGACAACCAGGCCAGUCAGCAUUUGUUCCGAGGAUAUCGCUCCCUCCAACUAAGGUUGGCACACACGAUGAUGAUAAACAAGUCACCAGAGCAUAGUGGAAUUGCCUACAUGCAUAACGGCAAGGAGAUUAAGUUGUUGAUGCUAGAAAACGAGAAAGCAAUGCGUACGGCGAAUGUAAUAUAUUUCCGGAAGUUCUACUGUAAAAUAACUUAUCUGGGAUUUAUUUUAAUUGAGCAAUUUAGUGACUCUUUUGGAAUAAUUGACAAAUAAAUUUUUACUUCUGCGA
Papaver somniferum (opium poppy) is the source of this 1379-nucleotide long non-coding RNA. RefSeq lists it as uncharacterized. Lineage: Eukaryota; Viridiplantae; Streptophyta; Magnoliopsida; Ranunculales; Papaveraceae. The record is from RefSeq and is a predicted model, not a curated record. The transcript has 5 exons.